AAUGAACGCUGGCGGCGUGGAUUAGGCAUGCAAGUCGAACGCGAAAGUUCCCUUCGGGGAGCGAGUAGAGUGGCGAAAGGGUGAGUAAUGCUUGGAUGACCUGCCCUCGAGACGGGGACAACAGUUCGAAAGGACUGCUAAUACCCGAUAGUCCGGUUUAGAUGCGUCUAGAUCGGUAAAUGGUGCUUCCGCUCGAGAGGGGUUCAAGUCCUAUCAGCUUGUUGGUGAGUAACGGCUCACCAAGGCGAUGACGGGUAGCCGGAUGAGAGGUUGGCCGGCCACAUGGGAACUGAGACACUGUCCUGACUCCUACGGGAGGCUGCAGUCGAGAAUCUCUGCAAUGGGCGAAAGCCUGACAGA
Molecule: ribosomal RNA, 360 nt
Filed under: uncultured bacterium
Lineage: Bacteria
Description: bacterial SSU rRNA
Rfam family: Bacterial small subunit ribosomal RNA
Source: RNAcentral